This 169-nucleotide ribosomal RNA is filed under the name Hoya thomsonii. Its description in RNAcentral is "5.8S ribosomal RNA". The record is from RNAcentral. Lineage: Eukaryota; Viridiplantae; Streptophyta; Magnoliopsida; Gentianales; Apocynaceae.
GCACGUCUGCCUGGGCGUCACGCAUCGCGUCGGAAAGGGUCGCGGGCAGAGCGGGGGGCGGAAGUUGGCUUCCCGUGCUCCGUCGCGGCCAGCCUAAAAAACGGUUCCCUCGCCGCGGACGUCGCGACAAGUGGUGGUCGUCGAGAUUGAACGCGAGUCGCCGGCAAGC